Molecule: ribosomal RNA, 253 nt
Filed under: uncultured bacterium
Lineage: Bacteria
Description: partial 16S ribosomal RNA
Rfam family: Archaeal small subunit ribosomal RNA
Source: RNAcentral
UACCAGCACCCCGAGUGGUCGGGACGUUUAUUGGGCCUAAAGCAUCCGUAGCCGGUUCUACAAGUCUUCCGUUAAAUCCACCUGCUCAACAGAUGGGCUGCGGAAGAUACUAAGGAGCUAGGAGGCGGGAGAGGCAAGCGGUACUCGAUGGGUAGGGGUAAAAUCCGUUGAUCCAUUGAAGACCACCAGUGGCGAAGGCGGCUUGCCAGAACGCGCUCGACGGUGAGGGAUGAAAGCUGGGGGAGCAAACCGG